GCCAGACUCCUACGGGAGGCAGCAGUGGGGAAUAUUGCACAAUGGGGGAAACCCUGAUGCAGCGACGCCGCGUGAGUGAAGAAGCGCCUCGGCGCGUAAAGCUCUGUCAGCAGGAACGAUAAUGACGGUACCUGAAGAAGAAGCCCCGGCUAACUACGUGCCAGCAGCCGCGGUAAUACGUAGGUGGCAAGCGUUAUCCGGAUUUACUGGGUGUAAAGGGCGUGUAGGCGGGAAAGCAAGUCAGAUGUGAAAACCAUGGGCUCAACCUGUGGCCUGCAUUUGAAACUGUUUUUCUUGAGUACUGGAGAGGCAGACGGAAUUCCUAGUGUAGCGGUGAAAUGCGUAGAUAUUAGGAGGAACACCAGUGGCGAAGGCGGUCUGCUGGACAGCAACUGACGCUGAGGCGCGAAAGCGUGGGGAGCAAACAGGAUUAGAUACCCCAGUAGG
Molecule: ribosomal RNA, 447 nt
Filed under: uncultured bacterium
Lineage: Bacteria
Description: bacterial SSU rRNA
Rfam family: Bacterial small subunit ribosomal RNA
Source: RNAcentral